CCCUUAGAUGUCCGGGGCUGCACGCGCGCUACACUGAAGGAAUCAGCGUGCUAGAAAACCUUGUUUGACAUGGCUAGGUAACCCGUUGAAAAUCUUUCGUGAUUGGGAUCGGGACUUGCAAAUGCGUCCCUUGAACGAGGAAUUCCCAGUAAGUGCGGGUCAUAAGCUCGCGCUGAUUACGUCCCUGCCCUUUGUACACACCGCCCGUCGCUGCCCGGAACUGAGCCGUUUCGAGAAGACUGGGGACUGCGAACUUUGGGCUGGAAAACAGCUUUUUGUUUGUGGAAACCACUUUAAUCGCAGCGGCUUGAACCGGGCAAAAGUCGUAACA
RNAcentral lists this ribosomal RNA (331 nucleotides) under uncultured eukaryote. RNAcentral's name for it is "partial 18S ribosomal RNA". It matches the Rfam family "Eukaryotic small subunit ribosomal RNA", at positions 1470 to 1796 of the family's 1831-position model. The record is from RNAcentral.